This is a long non-coding RNA of Brassica napus (rape), 3487 nucleotides long. RefSeq lists it as uncharacterized. The record is from RefSeq and is a predicted model, not a curated record. Lineage: Eukaryota; Viridiplantae; Streptophyta; Magnoliopsida; Brassicales; Brassicaceae. The transcript is spliced from 2 exons.
UUGUUUUUUUUUAUUUGGACACCACUUAUCGUUCAGUUAAAUUAAUUUGUGUCCAUGUUUUAAUUGAAAUAUUCUAACAUGCAAACAUCUGUCUGUCAGUCUUUUUGCUCUCUGCUUUUUCCUUUCUAUAACUCAAACUUGUCGUAUCUUUCUUGACAAUCUAUAUUCUUUGGAAGCUCUUUUUUUUUUGUUGUUCUAAUAUUCUUUGGAAGCUUUUGGAAGCUUUUUUCGGUUAAGAUACACACUUCUUAGACCACCCGCAACACGGGAACGUAAGUGGAACUUAACGCGGAAUCCUAAGCAAAUCCGAGUAUAAUAAUAGUUUAUUUUUUUUUUAGCUAAGAAAGAGUCCUUAAACAAGGUGUUUAAGGACUUAAUCCUUACGUGCGUGGCAACAGCUGAUAGGCGAGGGGUGGGGGUGUCUUUCGCGUGUGGGAAAGAAAAGAAUCACUUUUUUUUUCCAUCACGAAAAAAAGAGCUCUCGCGAUAUCAAAGGCGAUUCGGCGAUAGGAGAAGGGUGAAGGUAAAUCGGAGCUUUCACGUCAAUAUUUUUGCAUUUGGAGUUGUUGCAUGUUGUUUUCAUCUGUUUUUAGGGUUCUAUCGAGGGGUUUAAAUGGAUUUAGGGUUUCAAAUCGAGUUGGGGAUUUUUAUCGAAUUAGGGUUUUCGUCUAGGUUUGCUAUUUUCUUCAUCUCGAUUUGCUUCUUUGUUGUUUUUGUCGUUAUUAAGGUUCGGGAUUGAGUUAUAAAUCGUUAUAGGGUUCGGGAUUGAGUUCUAAAUCGAUUUAGGGUUCGGGUAUAGGGUUUUAAAUCGAUUAGUUUUUGUUCUUGCAGGUGUUGAAAUGGAGGAAGAAUUAAAAGAUAUGAAAGCACACAAAGAUUACUACAACAUGCUUUAUUUCGUUGCAUAUGCGCAACAGGGUAUUCCUAAACUCUGCCCCUGUGGAUCAAUCACGAAGGAAGUCGUUGAUGAAGAGGACACAUAUGACUACCUCCCUGGGAAAAGAUACUUCAUAUGCAAAGACGAAGGGGUAUAUAGUGUUUUCUGUUACUAACAUUCUUCUUCUUCGAAAUGAAUUUGCAGUUUGACAAUGGUUAUUAUGUUUUGGCAGAAUGGCGGGCUGCAUUUCAGGCAGCCAUGGGUUAUGGGUAUGCAACAAGAGGUUGAGAGGCUGAAAAUAAAAGUCUACGAGCAGGAGAAGCUUCUGAGAGAGUGUCAGGCGCUUAAGGUGAGUUCAAAUCUAAAUUGUAACAUGAAAUUGAUAGUUGUUUGUACAAACUUUGUAACAUAAUGAUUGGUUUGUCUGAUAUAUGUUUAGGAGCAGGUGAGGAUGCUGCAUAUGCGUCUGACUGAACUUGAGACAGGCCAAAGGAGAUUAGUGUCUAAACUUACCCAUUAACUUAAGUUUGUAGUUUGAAAACAAUAACAGUAAACCAUCAUUUAUCACUAAAUCUUUUCCUUGUUUGAACUUUAAAAAUUUCUAGUUCAAACGUAAGUUUGUAGUUUGAGAACAAUAACUUUUGUCCUUUGAACUAGUUAACUUUCUGGUGUAAAUUCGAUAGUGAAAUGAUAGGUUAUAAAUGCAAAGUAAACCACCAUUAAAUUGUGUCUAACUGCUUAUUUCGGGGUAAAGCUUCAUUAAAUUGUCUGUAGCUGUAAUGAUAUGACAGUUUCCUACUAGGAUUCAAUAGAUUUGCGUAAAUAAUCCCUUAUUUAGUCGCCUCCCUUUGCUAGUUGAGUAAAACAGAGUCUUCUUCCUAAAUGGCAAACUCCACAAGUUUUGUUAACCUUUUAGGCAGCCAAGGGGUAGUUGACCUUGACUCAUUGGAACCUCUUGGCUUUAGCAGCCAAUGUUCCGAUGAGUCUACUGUCAAAGAGAGGAGAAAAUGGUCACCGAAGGAGGAUAUAAUACUCAUUGGUGCUUGGCUCAACACCAGCAAAGACCUAAUAGUCAGUAAUGAACAGAAAGCUGGUGCGUUCUGGAAUAGGAUUGUAGAGUACUACAACUCCAGUCCUCUACUAGUUGGGACAAUCCCAAGAGAACUUGGGCAAUGCAAGGAAAGAUGGGCUAGAAUCAAUGAUUUGGUGUGUAAGUUUUCUGGCCGCUACGAGAUGGCACUGAGGAGAAGCGGGCAAAAUGACAACGAUGUGAUGAAGGAUGCCUUGGAUAUCUUCUACAAUGACAAGGGCAUUAAGUUCAACUUGUAACAUGUGUGGAGGGAGCUUAGGCAUGAUGUGAAAUGGUGCUCCACCUAUCUCGAGAAGGACAGUGGUAAGGACAAGCGCAAAACAAUUGAUUCUGAUGCUCAAGGGUCAGUGACAGAGCCACAAGAGAGACCCAUAGGAGUUAAGGCAGCUAAGGCUGCUGGCAAGAGGAAGAAAAUUGGAAAAGAAGAAGAAUUAGGACAACUAAAAGAAAUGAUGGAGACCAAAAAGCAAAUCUCAAAUCAGAGUUUGCUUGCAAGUUUGGUUGCAAAGACCGAGCCACUCUCUGAGACGGAAUUAGCUCUGAAAAUGAAAUUAAUGUCUGAGAUGUUGUGAUAAUUGAUGGUUUGUUAACGCUAACUUUAGUGAUGUUUACUUAUCUUUUUACUUUGCUUACGAAUCUCAUUUUCCCUGUUUCAGGUGAAGUACAAGACCAUGUGAGUACUGAAGACAAAAGCUGUUGUAUUUUGGUUUGUUUCUUUGUGCUUUGUUUGUUUCUGCUACUGUUUUCAUGUGAACCAAGUCACGGGUUCUCUGUUGCCCUUUCUUGGCUUUAUAACUAUGUUUGUUAUCUCGGCUUUGUAACUCUACUGCUCUUCUUCUACUACCUUCAAAACUUGUAUCUCUAGUACCUCUGGAACGUGUAACUCUACUACUGAAUUAUAGCCAAAUAUGGGAGAUGCAUUCGAUCAAAGAUUCGAAGCGGCUUUCGAUGAAUGUUUUGAAGAUACAUACAACAACAUCGUGGAGAACCGAACAAAGAAACAGAGCAAACAUGCAUAUGUCGAACGAAACCGCGAAGAGGGCCAUACCCGUCUAUGGAAUGACUACUUCAGUGAAGAUCUUUGGAUAUGACACGCUUUUUUUGGUCCUCCAUGUACCUUAAACGAUAUUAACGUCCUCGAUCGGUCUCCUGUUUUUGAUGACAUUUUACAAGGUCGAGCUCCAAGGGUACAGUACGUGGUCAACGGACACCAGUAUGAUUUUCCGUACUACCUCACAGACGGCAUUUAUCCAAAAUGGUCAACAUUUAUCCAAUCUAUCUCAAACCCUCAAAGUCCUGAAGCACAGUUAUUUGCUAAAGUUCAAGAAUCAACCCGAAAAGAUGUGGAGCGUGCUUUUGGAGUAUUGCAAACUCGAUUUGCAAUAGUGAAAAACCCGGCUAUUUUGUGGGACAAGAGACAAAUAGGGAUGGUUAUGCGAACAUGUAUCAUACUGCAUAAUAUGAUAGUAGAAAAUGAACGCAAUGGAUACACUCAGUAUGAUACAUCAGAGUUUGAAGAA